This 1418-nucleotide long non-coding RNA is filed under the name Homo sapiens (human). Its description in RNAcentral is "non-protein coding lnc-FGF9-3:10". The record is from RNAcentral. Lineage: Eukaryota; Metazoa; Chordata; Mammalia; Primates; Hominidae.
GGAAGUGACUGGAUGUGGAGAGGAGUGUAUCCGCGAAGGAACGCACAAGUGGCCUGACCUGCAGAAGAACGCUAGCUAGGCACUAGGCAUGCCGGCAAGGUCAGCUGAGAGCUGACCCCAGUGCAACGUGGAGGAGUUUGGUUGGGGCAGUCGGAGGAGCACCUGGGCCGCCAAGCGGCCAGACUUCGGGGGAAAGCCAUCUCUCUUCUGGCGCCUUUAUCGGCAGAGAGCUACUUGUACUCAAAACCUUGCACUCAUUCUCCAAGCCCACGUGGGUAAGAUUCACCCACACUGCGGAGGGCGUCGGAGCUCCACAGCCUGCCUGUCUGUAUGCUCCCAUAGAGGUUUGAGCAGCGGGGCACUGGAGAAGCAAGUCACACCCCCAUUGCACGCCAUGGGAGUAGGACAAGGUAACUUUUCCUGUUUCACUGUGACAAUACGAUUCACACCCCUUUUUCCUCUUCGUUCUAUAGUUACUGCUGAAAAGUCAAGAUAGGGUUGUUCUAUUGUAAAUGAUCUCUCUCUUUUUUCUGACUGCUUUUAGAAAUGUUCAUUUAAUCAUUGAUAUUUGGUGGUUUUCCUAUGUGUUUAGCCAUUUAUUUUCUAGGAUUCUUGGGCUCCUUGAUCAUAAGAAUUAGGUCCUUUAACAGUUUUGGUUGGAAAAUUCUCAGCUAUUGUUUUUUCAUAUUUGCUUUCUCUUAUUUUCGCCUUAUGAAUUCCAAGUAGAUAGAUGUUGGAACCUCUCAUACCGUCUUUCAUGUGUCUUAAACUCUUUUUACCAUAUUUAUCUUUUGGUAUCUGUGCUUAUGUUAAAAUGUAUCCACAGGAUUUUAAUGUGUAGAGGUGACAGAGUGAGGACAUGGAGCAGUCAGUGCCACUGGGAAGAAAAGUUUAUUACUCAGUUUCCUAGAAGUGAGAGGCAUUGCUUGCUAUGCAGAAACACAUGGGGCAGCCCCAGAGCUGGUCAGGAGGCAGGGUAGGAGUGAAAGAGAAGCACAGGCCAUAGCCGUUUUUGGAGUUUCUGUGGGAAAGUCAAGGCAGGGCAGAGUAAACUUGGCUAGUUUGAGUAAUUCUGGCAGGAUUUGGGGCAUAGCGGCUGUCUGUAAUUGUCUGGUCAUUGGCCACAUUGAUUUGGGGCAGGGAAAAUAUUGGCUUGGAUUGUGAGAGUUAAAGCAGAAAGUUGGGGGUAUGAAGUUGGGAUUGGUUGGUUUGUAGAUAAAAGAUAUGUUCACAGGUGACUUGUUGAUUAUCUCUAGUAAUUAGCCCUGGAAGCUGCAGUCUCUCUGAAGCUGGCAGGCUCCCACUCUAAGAUGUCAAAACAUCAUAAAAUAAAAAAAACGAAAUACUGUGCUCUUUUCUAGAAAUUGUUUCAUCUCUAUUUUCUAGUUCACUAAUUUUGUCUUCAGUGGAAUCAAAGC